CAGAGAUAUAUUGAUGAAUUGGGUGUGUUCUAAGGUUUUUUUGAACUACUACUAGCUAAGAUUUUUAGUUUUUGAUCAUUGUGUUGUUAUUUUAGACUUAGUAUGGGUCUAGCACUCUUUAUUUUCUGGGUUUGACUAAUUUUAUUGUCAGAGCCUGGGAACAUGAAGAGGAAUGCCAGAGAAGUGGUACACUGUAAGCCAUGUGUGUGUGUCUAUUCAUCAACUACCUGACUCACUCCCCAGCCAUGCCUCUCACAAGAGGAAUUUAAAGUUACUACAGUCAGUACUAAAGAUAAAGUUGGGAUAGCAGAUGCUUUGGUAGCUGCAUGUCUAAAUAAUAGUAAUUAUUUUGCUUCUAGCAUUCUCUAAUGUUGUUUGGUUUUGAGAGCUAAUGGCAUUUCUAUUUUUUUCCACAGUAAAUAACAGUUUCACUAAAUCAUUAGGGUUGGGUCCAAUAGUUACAAGAGUAUUGACUUCUAUGUAAACCAGCAGAAAAGGCUUAUAGAUCACAUCGCAUGUUUGAUAGUUUACUGGAGUUUUUCUGACGGCCACCUUACUUACAGUCAGACAGCAUAAAGAUUGGAGAUACGGAGUUGGUCGUGGGUUGAAAGAAUACCUUAGCUUAAGCCUAUACAGGGUCAGGAUGAUCAAUAUCACUCUCUUCCACCUCCACAUCUUGUCCCACUGAAGGCCUCUAGGACCAAUAACAUGCAUGGAGCUGUCAUCUCCUAUGAUAACAGGGCCUUCUUUUUGAGUACUUCCCGAAGGACAUGCUUUAGGCUGUCUUUGCAGUUUGCUUUUCUUAUAUAGGUAGAAGGAGUACA
RNAcentral lists this long non-coding RNA (824 nucleotides) under Homo sapiens (human). Its description in RNAcentral is "HSALNT0093766". The record is from RNAcentral. Lineage: Eukaryota; Metazoa; Chordata; Mammalia; Primates; Hominidae.